Molecule: ribosomal RNA, 254 nt
Filed under: uncultured bacterium
Lineage: Bacteria
Description: partial 16S ribosomal RNA
Rfam family: Bacterial small subunit ribosomal RNA
Source: RNAcentral
UACGGAGGCCUCGAACGUUAUUCGGAAUCACUGGGCUUAAAGCGCGUGUAGGCGGAUGGGGACGUCGGUUGCUGAAAGCCCCCGGCUUAACCGGGGAACGGGCGCCGAAACGCCCCGUCUCGAGGGACGUAGGGGGACCUGGAACUUCCGGUGGAGCGGUGAAAUGCGUUGAGAUCGGAAGGAACGCCCGUGGCGAAAGCGAGGUCCUGGACGUCUACUGACGCUGAGACGCGAAAGCUAGGGGAGCGAACGGG